UUGGGUGGCGAGUGGCGGACGGGUGAGGAAUACAUCGGAAUCUACUCUGUCGUGGGGGAUAACGUAGGGAAACUUACGCUAAUACCGCAUACGACCUACGGGUGAAAGCAGGGGAUCUUCGGACCUUGCGCGAUUGAAUGAGCCGAUGUCGGAUUAGCUAGUUGGCGGGGUAAAGGCCCACCAAGGCGACGAUCCGUAGCUGGUCUGAGAGGAUGAUCAGCCACACUGGAACUGAGACACGGUCCAGACUCCUACGGGAGGCAGCAGUGGGGAAUAUUGGACAAUGGGCGCAAGCCUGAUCCAGCCAUACCGCGUGGGUGAAGAAGGCCUUCGGGUUGUAAAGCCCUUUUGUUGGGAAAGAAAUCCAGCUGGCUAAUACCCGGUUGGGAUGACGGUACCCAAAGAAUAAGCACCGGCUAACUUCGUGCCAGCAGCCGCGGUAAUACGAAGGGUGCAAGCGUUACUCGGAAUUACUGGGCGUAAAGCGUGCGUAGGUGGUCGUUUAAGUCCGUUGUGAAAGCCCUGGGCUCAACCUGGGAACUGCAGUGGAUACUGGGCGACUAGAGUGUGGUAGAGGGUAGCGGAAUUCCUGGUGUAGCAGUGAAAUGCGUAGAGAUCAGGAGGAACAUCCAUGGCGAAGGCAGCUACCUGG
Molecule: ribosomal RNA, 652 nt
Filed under: Stenotrophomonas maltophilia
Lineage: Bacteria; Pseudomonadati; Pseudomonadota; Gammaproteobacteria; Lysobacterales; Lysobacteraceae
Description: bacterial SSU rRNA
Rfam family: Bacterial small subunit ribosomal RNA
Source: RNAcentral